GAUGAACGCUGGCGGCGUGCCUAAUACAUGCAAGUCGAGCGAACAGACGAGGAGCUUGCUCCUCUGACGUUAGCGGCGGACGGGUGAGUAACACGUGGAUAACCUACCUAUAAGACUGGGAUAACUUCGGGAAACCGGAGCUAAUACCGGAUAAUAUAUUGAACCGCAUGGUUCAAUAGUGAAAGACGGUUUUGCUGUCACUUAUAGAUGGAUCCGCGCCGCAUUAGCUAGUUGGUAAGGUAACGGCUUACCAAGGCGACGAUGCGUAGCCGACCUGAGAGGGUGAUCGGCCAAACUGGAACUGAGACACGGUCCAGACUCCUAAGGGAGGCAGCAGUAGGGAAUCUUCCGCAAUGGGCGAAAGCCUGACGGAGCAACGCCGCGUGAGUGAUGAAGGUCUUCGGAUCGUAAAACUCUGUUAUUAGGGAAGAACAAAUGUGUAAGUAACUAUGCACGUCUUGACGGUACCUAAUCAGAAAGCCACGGCUAACUACGUG
RNAcentral lists this ribosomal RNA (497 nucleotides) under uncultured bacterium. Its description in RNAcentral is "partial 16S ribosomal RNA". It matches the Rfam family "Bacterial small subunit ribosomal RNA", at positions 28 to 507 of the family's 1533-position model. The record is from RNAcentral.